GGCCCCGGGCCGGGCCGCCACG
Molecule: microRNA, 22 nt
Filed under: Human alphaherpesvirus 1 (Herpes simplex virus type 1)
Lineage: Duplodnaviria; Heunggongvirae; Peploviricota; Herviviricetes; Herpesvirales; Orthoherpesviridae
Description: hsv1-miR-H15
Gene: hsv1-miR-H15
Source: miRBase by way of RNAcentral